UACGAAGGGGGCUAGCGUUGUUCGGAUUUACUGGGCGUAAAGGGCGCGUAGGCGGCCACCGCAAGUCGGUUGUGAAAUCUCUGGGCUUAACCCAGAAAGGUCAACCGAUACUGCGGGGCUAGAGUGCAGAAGGGGCAACUGGAAUUCUCGGUGUAGCGGUGAAAUGCGUAGAUAUCGAGAGGAACACCUGCGGCGAAGGCGGGUUGCUGGGCUGACACUGACGCUGAAGCGCGAAAGCUAGGGGAGCGAACGGG
Molecule: ribosomal RNA, 254 nt
Filed under: uncultured bacterium
Lineage: Bacteria
Description: partial 16S ribosomal RNA
Rfam family: Bacterial small subunit ribosomal RNA
Source: RNAcentral